UGGAUAUGCAGGCGUAAUCGCAUCAGAGAUUUGGCUACUUGCAAUGGCAAUUGAAGGCUUCUCUUGGACCGGAAUGGGGAAAAAUGUAAUGAAGAAAGUAAUGGUAUAUAAUGUGAAUCUAUUUACUAGGAAGAUUUCAAGUUGAAGUUUGAAACCAUAAGAGCCCUGAAAGCCCUAAAUUGGAGAGAUAGGCAACAAAUCCUAAUAGAGGAGGUUGAAGGCUUUGCUUCAUUCAGAUAUCAUAUCAUAUCAGGUUGAUGGCACACAAGAUCAAUGUUCAACUUCCUGUACAAUUUGAAGACUUUUAUGUUCUUUCAUUUGGGAAAAUCAUUGCAAGCCCAUUAUACUACGGUGCCAAUUAUAUUUGGCCAAUCGGGUACAAAUCCUGUUGGCAAGAAAAGCUUACCGGCUCACUUUUUACAUGUGACGUGUCGAAUAACGGUCAACGUGGACCCUUUUUCCAAAUCACCAGGUCCAGUUGCUCAGAAUCACCUAUUCAAUAUGGUCAAACUAUUCUAUGUUGAACAGACCUUGAUGAGUAUCACAAUGUUGUGACCGAGCUGACCGAGAUGACCAAGAUAGAUCCGGGCAGUGGUGAUGAAGUAGGGUAUGAAGAUGUAAUUGAUGACCUAUAUUUUGAAGGGUCUUUCACCAUCAUCAACAUGGAAGCUACUAUUAAAAAAGAUUGUUGAUGUUCACAAAAAAGUUAUCAACCGGAAGGGCGGCGUGCAGUGUUACUAUAGGCAAGCUGAAGAUUUGAGCUUUUUGUCAUCUGUUCAUUUUACGCACGAGGUCAGCAUAGAUCUGGAGAACUUUUACAUUCACAAAAAUGUGUCAAUGUGCCGACUGUCAUUCAUGGUGACAAGGAGAAUUGUGACUUUUCAGAGUUAUUGAUGAAUUGGUUGAGAGAGUAUCGGUUUGGAUUAGACUUUGAAUUUGUUCAAGAAUUUAUAGAACAACUCCCUGGUGUGGUAGCCUGUUCAGGCUAUAUAUUUUGCAAAGAUAGUUUAUUUGAUUCAUCUUCAACAAUUUCAAGUAAAAAAAUAAAAUAAAGGGUGUGGAGCCUUUUCCUGUUGGGAGUCUCAUUUCCUCAAGGCUAUAUAUCUUCUCAUGCAACAGGCGACCUUCUUCAGGUGUAUGAAUUCCUAUGUCGUUUACAAGAAGUUCUUGAAGUGGAAGAAGAUUGUUUAUCAUAUAAAGAUCUUGAAAACGGUCUUCUUGCUCCCAGGCCUGUUACAUAUGGAUAUGGGGCAGGGGCAUUUCUGGAAACAGUAGAAAUGAAUUGUGUUAAACAUAAGGUUGACAAGUUGACUACUGUCCACAUGGCACUGCUACCUAGGCUAGUGACUAAGCUCUUGCGAAAAAUAGUUAAUUCGUUUAACGUAACCGGUGAUGCUAAAGAUACAAAGAAGGACAAGGGUAAAAAAGUAAAAAUAGAAUUGUUUCCGAUUAAUCCGCUGCAGAAGUGGCUAGAAGAUAUAUCUUGGCUUGUUUGCUAAUGGGACUCAUUUCAGAAUCGUUGUCAACGAUACCGGAAUGUGUGAUUCCGAUUCCGGUGCAUGGCAUUUAUCCCAAUCCGAAGAACAAAUCAAGAAUCUCAUCAACUACCUGAAAAGAAACGACCCACGAGAAGAGAAUAGAGAAAUUUGAUCUCGAAGUGGCAUAAGUCAAUCAUGAAACACGGUCAACAAACGGGAAUAGAUUCGGUCAAGGGCAAAACGGUCUUUUUGCAUAACAGCGGACUUGCUACAAAGGGAAGUGAGUUGCUGGAGGCGAAAUACACUACAAAUCCGGAUUCAAUGAAGAAACCAAGAUGAAAGAACGCGUGUUGCCAUGUAGAUACCACUAUGUUAAAUGCCAUGAAACUUUUUUCGGAAAUGUUGAAUUUGAACAACAUAAGAAGAACAAGUGUGAUUGUGGUUUGGAUUUGGGUUUGGUGAGUCGAUCAGGACCCGGUUAAUUAACUCAGUCUUGGUUGUGAUUCAUUAAGACGAUUGAAGAUUAAUUUGUUGGACAUGCAAGCUGCUUUCCGAUUGAGCAAAAAGAGGGUCUAGGGCAAGUUCUGAAUGGAGGUCUGAUUGGUGUGCUUUUGUUAAAUCAGCUAACACUGUAUAUGAGAAGGUUGAAGCAACUAUGGUAUUGGAAACCAUGAUCAAGACAGAUUAUAUGAAUUGAUGAUCCUUUUGAUGAAUUCUAAACUUCGAUUUUUUUGGAUUGAUGAUCCUUUUGAUCUACUUGGACUUUUGCUCCUUGUCCAAACUAAAAAUACUAUUAUACUCUUAAUGAAUUUAUUUUUCAUUUUUCUUUCACUUUUUAAUAUUAUUAUUAUUAAAUAUAAAAGUGGGCCCACUUAUCCACCCUCUCUCUUUCUCUCUCAAAACAUGUUACCGUCUUUUUCUAAACCUCUCGUGUCUAUCCUCUUCCUCCACGGUCUGAAGUCUUUCGUUCCUUCUUCUUCUUUCUCACCCUCGCCAUCACCUAUGCUUUACUCGAUGAUGGAGAUGAUAAUGGAGAAAUAAAUCAGGGAUUCCCACAUCAACCCACCUCCAAUUGCAUCGAUUUUUCUAUGUUAACAGGUUUUGAGGAAACAAUAUCCCAAUAAACACAAACCUCGAUUCCCAAAUCAACCCACAUCCGAUCCAUUCCAUUCUGAUGAUGAAAUCGACAACAAAUCAACCCUAAAAUUACCAAUCUUCCUCCAUACCUGUUUUCCUUUCACCUAAAUCUCAACCACCACCAUAAGCAAUCGACGACCCUUCUAAUGAAACCCACAUCUUCUCCAUUAACAUUCUUUUCUCCCCGAAUACCGGAUCUUUCACUUUAAAUUUCAAGAGCAAAAAAACCCAGAUGCCUCACUACAGAGGAGGUAUUAAUCGCGUCAUCUGAGAUAAACAGAAGAUAAUCAUGGUUCGAUUUCACCCUUAAAAUUGAUUUUAGAUACAAAAUUGAUUUAAUAUUUCAUUAGGGUUUACCGGGUUUGAAUCUUGAGAGAUCGACAGUGGUUGAAUCUUGACAUAUUUGAAAUCAAUUUCGUCCCCCCAUAUGUCUUCAACUUCUCAAUCGAUUUCAAAAAGUAUGUGUGUGUGUGUAAAUCCUUCCUAAAUCGUUGAUGAGAUUCUAGAUUCGAUCGACGAUAAGGAGAGAAGAGAACAGAUGAGGAAAUGCAGAAGUAGAAGUGUAGGUGUGUGUGAAUUUGCAGAGAGAGAGAGAGAGGUGGGUGGAUAAGUGGGCCCACUUUUAUAUUUAAUAAUAAUAUUAAAAAGUGAAAGAAAAAUGAAAAAUAAAUUAAAUAAGGGUAUAAUAAUCUUUUUAGUUUGGACAUGGACCAAAACUGCAAGCAAAGUAACUCAAAAGGACCACCAAUCCAAAAAAAUCGAGGUUUGGACUAAAACCCCCAAAAAUGCAUACCAUAGGGACCAUUUUUGCAAUUUAGUCUACAAGUUUUGAAGAACUUAAGUGGUUAAAUGUAUACCUUCUUCCUCCUUUGGUGUAAAAUCCGAGUUUCAUUUAUGGAUUAGAAAUUUGAUUAGAUUUUCAACUCAUUUGAGGACUAGGGUUUUGUGUUAUAAGCAAGUUAUGUUGUUUAUGUUGGUUUAUAACUCAAAUCUAUCAUUCCAUGGUAGAUUUGAUGUUGGAAUUGUAUUUUCUCUAAAAUCCCUAGAUUUUCCAAUGAUAAUGAUGAUGUGUUAAUCUGCCCUUUGCAUGAUUUCAAGACGACUGGAGAUGUUUGUAUUCAAUUCCUCCAUGGAAAAGCAUUGCUUAAAGCAACGGUAGAAUCAACUACUUAGAAAAUGUAGUUUGUGACAAUUAUGAGUUUAUGAACUUUGAUGAUGAUUAAUGGUGUUAUAAGGGGUAUUUGUUGUUCAUAACAAUGGUUUUGGUUUAUGAAGUUAAGAACAACAUGAAGAAUCAUCACAAGUUAAUGUGAUUAUAAUGAUAGUUAGAGAAGAGGGGUAAAAUGGGAAAUUAAGAAAAGAAUGAAAAAAUCAUGUUUUUAAUGUGAUUUUAAUAGAUCGGAUGAUUGGGGAACAUAUCCUGGACAUAUAUGUUGCUACUUUGGAAUUUGAUUUGAGAAAAUGAUGUUCCAGUUAUAUC
Lactuca sativa (garden lettuce) is the source of this 4095-nucleotide long non-coding RNA. RefSeq lists it as uncharacterized. Lineage: Eukaryota; Viridiplantae; Streptophyta; Magnoliopsida; Asterales; Asteraceae. The record is from RefSeq and is a predicted model, not a curated record.